AACUUUCGAUGGUAGGAUAGAGGCCUACCAUGGUGGUAACGGGUAACGGGGUGUUAGGGCACGACACCGGAGAGGGAGCCUGUGAAACGGCUACCACAUCCAAGGAUGGCAGCAGGCGCGCAAAUUACCCAAUCCCGACACGGGGAGGUAGUGACAAUAAAUAACAAUACGGGGUUCUUUAGGAUUUCGUAAUUGGAAUGAGUACAAUUUAAAUCUCUUAACGAGGAACAAUUGGAGGGCAAGUCUGGUGCCAGCAGCCGCGGUAAUUCCAGCUCCAAUAGCGUAUAUUAAAGUUGUUGCAGUUAAAAAGCUCGUAGUUGAAUUUCGGGGUCAGUAGGUUGGUCAUGCCACUGGUAUGUACUGGCUUCACUGAUUCCUCCUUCCUGAUGAGCCGUAAUGCCAUUAAUUUGGUGUUGCGAGGAAUCUGGACUGUUACUUUGAAAAAAUUAGAGUGUUUAAAGCAGGCUAACGCUUGAAUACAUUAGCAUGGAAUAAUGAAAUAGGACGUUCGAUCUUAUUUUGUUGGUUUCUAAGAUUGACGUAAUGAUUAAUAGGGAUAGUUGGGGGCAUUAGUAUUCAAUUGUCAGAGGUGAAAUUCUUGGAUUUAUUGAAGACUAACUACUGCGAAAGCAUUUGCCAAGGAUGUUUUCAUUAAUCAAGAACGAAAGUUAGGGGGAUCGAAGACGAUCAGAUACCGUCGUAGUCUUAACCAUAAACUAUGCCGACUAGGGAUCGGAUGAUGUUAAUUUUUUAAUGACUCAUUCGGCGCCUUACGGGAAACCAAAGUGUUUGGGUUC
This 797-nucleotide ribosomal RNA is filed under the name uncultured Glomus. Its description in RNAcentral is "SSU rRNA". It matches the Rfam family "Eukaryotic small subunit ribosomal RNA", at positions 317 to 1114 of the family's 1831-position model. Lineage: Eukaryota; Fungi; Glomeromycota; Glomeromycetes; Glomerales; Glomeraceae. The record is from RNAcentral.